This is a non-coding RNA of Paramuricea clavata, 693 nucleotides long. The record is from the annotation of a GenBank genome assembly. Lineage: Eukaryota; Metazoa; Cnidaria; Anthozoa; Malacalcyonacea; Plexauridae.
CUUUAAUUCAAAUUUUAUUUAUAAAAUAUUUCCAAUUUUACUUACAAUUAAGGUGUUUGUACUUGGAGUACAGGUCUAUCAGUAUUAAAACAAGCUAGACAACUCGACAGUUGUUUUACAAUUGUUACUAAUUGGUCCAGUGUUGUUACAAGAGUAAAUAAACUAUCUAUUACAGUAAUACAAAAGCUAAAAUACUAUUUCGUGUAAAUGAAAACCAUUGAUUUAACCUGAUUUACACGAGUGCCGUCAUGCAUUCGAGUAGAAAAAGAAUUAGACUAAGAAAAAAAAUUUUGCGGCUGUGACCUAAACGAAAGGUAUUCAGAUUACAUAUAUACAUUUCUUGAGUUUCUUGAAUAAAUUUUCAAAGCUAAGGCCGGUCGUUCAAAGAUGGGUUAGUGCUAGCCUCUUCCGCAGGCAACUCUGUGGGUACCUAUAAAAGGUCAAAACGUACCAAAAGCAUUCUUUACUAGUUGCCUGCGAAGAAGGCUAGAUUAGCUCGAACCCUGGGUUAAAAAUUAAACCUGCUGUUUUGGUUUGUGCGUUUCUGCAUGUCAGAUUCUUUCAAAACUUUAGAAAGUAAAACUUCUAUCGACCCAGACGAGAUUUCUAGAAAAAUAUUUCCAUGUUCAAAAACAAGCUGGUGGAAAAAUUGCUUUGAAGAAUUUGUUCAUUUAUAAGCGACACUUUUUGAAC